UGAUAUUCAUUCAAUAAUCACAUGUUAAAUGUUUGUUUUUCCCAAUUAUUUUUCCUUUUUGCUUUUUUACAUGAAAUUGGUGAUCACCAUAAAACCUUAAAAAGAGAAUAAAAUCAAUCUUUUCAUCUGCAUAAUGAUUUGCCUUGCUUGAAUUAUGAAAUCUCUUUUAUACUCAAAAUCAUUAUGCAGGUUGAUCAAACCCAUUGAAC
RNAcentral lists this long non-coding RNA (209 nucleotides) under Lathyrus oleraceus (garden pea). RNAcentral's name for it is "Pisum sativum (pea) long non-coding RNA (PSAT_LNC013861)". Lineage: Eukaryota; Viridiplantae; Streptophyta; Magnoliopsida; Fabales; Fabaceae. The record is from RNAcentral.